Brassica rapa (field mustard) is the source of this 1441-nucleotide long non-coding RNA. RefSeq lists it as uncharacterized. Lineage: Eukaryota; Viridiplantae; Streptophyta; Magnoliopsida; Brassicales; Brassicaceae. The record is from RefSeq and is a predicted model, not a curated record.
AACCAGAGUUUCUUCUUCUCGAGGCCCAUUUGCACAGAACUUCUACGGAAAACCCUAAGCAGAUGCUCCCUCCCUGAUCUUCGUUCGUCUUUUUUCGGCGCAGCGAUCGUCCAGAUCCUGUAACGUUUAUGCUUUUAAUCGUCUUUAAUCGUCUUUAAUUCUUACCCCACUAAGAUUCUCUUCCCAACGACGAAGCUUUCUUUUGAUUCCACAUUCACGAAGCCAUUGUCGGAAACGCUUUUCGCAGAGCAGGAGGUUAAUGCACAAAUCCGAGCGAAAUUGUGACUUGCGGGGGCGAUUGAUACUGCGGGUGAUUCAGCUCUCGAAAGAUCACAUGAGUGGUGAUUCAUACGAUGGGGUAGGCCAUAUGAAGAUGAUGGAUGGGCAUUAACACAAAGAAGGCAUAGUUGAUAUCACAGGCGGAACGAGUAAGAGACCGUGGAUACUCCUACUGUAAACCAUCUUCCCAUGCCCUGAAUGUUUACCUCUGCGACACCGUUGUGGCAGAGUUCCGCCUAUCUGCCCCUUUCGUCGUCUUGAUCGCACCAGUAACACAAAAUGAGUUGGUGGCUACACAUAUACGAUUACAUACAGAGUGGAAAUAUUUGUACACGGUAACGGGGACAAAGCAACUUGUGUGCUUCUUGGAGACGCCGGUGCGGAGCUUAUUGGGUGACAAGUGAAUUCGAUAGCUACAAUCACUUUCAAUGCCUUCGCUACAAUGCCAGCUUCAGUUCUCUCGACGGUUCUUCCAACAUCGACGUUGCAGUUUUCACCGGUUCCAUCUUCGGUAUCUAGAGCCCCAAUGACGAGUGUUUCAUUGACGAAAUCUACGCUCUUGGGUCAGAGGAACAAAUAUGUACAGUUAAUGUGUCAUCUUCGUUUUUAAGUAAGGCAAAGGUGUCCGGGAAAAUAUACUCUUUCAACAAAUGGAACUACCAGCUGUGGGACGAGAAUCUGAAGUAGUACAUUGGUGAUCUCAAGGACCCAGGUCAACGUGGGAAACCUUACUCGGCAAGGUACAUUAGAACUUUGGUCAUAGACUUUUCACAGGACUUUGUUGUACGGUGGGAUUUACGUGUAUCCACGUGAUGCCAAGAGCAAAAUGAAAAGCUUAGGCUAUUGUAUGAGUAUGCACCGAUGAGUUUCAUUGUUGAACAAGCUGGAGGAAAAAGAUCAUAUGGUCACCAGAUAUAUAGUAUUAAUAUCCAACUGGCCAAGAUACAUCCGAAGGUUACGCUUUACAUUGGAAGCAAAGAAGAAAUGGAGAAGCUGGAUGAUGUAUUUGAAAGAUUCAUGAGUUUUAGUUUUGUUGAUUCCAAGAUUGCAUAAACGGUUCCAUUCUAAUAACAUUAUGUAAGGAUUAUCCUCUGCAAUUGACAUAAUGUCAUAAUUUCUGCGAAUGAGUUUGAUGAAUCCAGAAACGUAUACUCUCGCUGUU